This 253-nucleotide ribosomal RNA is filed under the name uncultured bacterium. RNAcentral's name for it is "partial 16S ribosomal RNA". It matches the Rfam family "Bacterial small subunit ribosomal RNA", at positions 524 to 776 of the family's 1533-position model. The record is from RNAcentral.
UACGGAGGGAGCUAGCGUUGUUCGGAAUUACUGGGCGUAAAGCGCACGUAGGCGGAUUUGUUAGUCAGGGGUGAAAUCCCGGGGCUCAACCUCGGAACUGCCUUUGAUACUGCAAAUCUCGAGUCCGAUAGAGGUGGGUGGAAUUCCUAGUGUAGAGGUGAAAUUCGUAGAUAUUAGGAAGAACACCGGUGGCGAAGGCGGCCCACUGGAUCGGUACUGACGCUGAGGUGCGAAAGCGUGGGGAGCAAACAGG